This 497-nucleotide ribosomal RNA is filed under the name uncultured bacterium. RNAcentral's name for it is "partial 16S ribosomal RNA". It matches the Rfam family "Bacterial small subunit ribosomal RNA", at positions 28 to 507 of the family's 1533-position model. The record is from RNAcentral.
GAUGAACGCUGGCGGCGUGCCUAAUACAUGCAAGUCGAGCGAACGGACGAGACGCUUGCUUCUCUGAUGUUAGCGGCGGACGGGUGAGUAACACGUGGAUAACCUACCUAUAAGACUGGGAUAACUUCGGGAAACCGGAGCUAAUACCGGAUAAUAUUUUGAACCGCAUGGUUCAAAAGUGAAAGACGGUCUUGCUGUCACUUAUAGAUGGAUCCGCGCUGCAUUAGCUAGUUGGUAAGGUAACGGCUUACCAAGGCAACGAUGCAUAGCCGACCUGAGAGGGUGAUAGGCCACACUGGAAGUGAGACACGGUCAAGACUCCUACGGGAGGCAGCAGUAGGGAAUCUGCCGCAAUGGGCGAAAGCCUGACGGAGCAAGGCCGCGUGAGUGAUGAAGGUCUCCGGAUCGUAAAACUCUGUUAUUAGGGAAGAACAUAUGUGUAAGUAACUGUGCACAUCUUGACGGUACCUAAUCAGAAAGCAACGGCUAACUACGUG